RNAcentral lists this long non-coding RNA (443 nucleotides) under Brassica napus (rape). RNAcentral describes it as "long non-coding RNA (BNAP_LNC017489)". The record is from RNAcentral. Lineage: Eukaryota; Viridiplantae; Streptophyta; Magnoliopsida; Brassicales; Brassicaceae.
CAAACGACCCAAGCUCCCAUCGACCGUGUCAAAAACAACGCCGAUAAACCACAUCCUUAGACCACCACUGGCGCGCGAGUUAGAUUCCUGAUCAGCUUCUAUCUCGUAAAACAUCCCGAGUAUGAGCGAUAUAAAUUGCUCCUAUAACCGAACCGAAGUAAAAGUUCGACUAUCAACGUGUAGCUAAUUAUCUCGUAUUGACUUGAUGAUUCGUUGGGAUUAUAUAUAUUUUCAACACCUUUACACAAAAACAAAAUAUUUACAUAAACCGGAGUCGACACAAAAUAAACGACCAGACCCACGUCAAAAAAAGAAAAAAAAAACACACACACACAUAAAUGUAUUCAUCAUACAAGUCCAAUCCACCACGUCAAUAGGAACUCUUCAUACUUCUCGGAAUCAUAAAUCAUAUUGACAAGCCACAAGCUCCAUCCAAAUCACGU